GGCAAGGAGUAUCACUUUAUUUCACAGUAGCUAGAAUAGAAACUUAGAAACCACAAAGAGCACUUGGGCACUUUCUUUGCCAACUGAAUUUUGACAGUAGCAAAGAUCAAAAUUUCAGUCUAUACCCGAUGCAGACUUGCAUAGCACUUGGGCACGAGACCGAUGAGCAUGAGGAGGAGCCGUCGUCGUCGAUGGGCCAGACCUGCAGAGACACAAUGUACUCCAUGAUUCAGUACUUCACAACAAUGAGCACAACAAUACAGAACAUGAUAUAGUAACAAGGUUCAGAACUUAAAUGUUGUUUCAACUUAAAUUCAGUAACAAGGAAGAACAUGAUUUAGUAACAUCAGAUGCCUGUGAAGAUCAGAAAGCAAGUGGUGUGGUCAAACGAAUUGGUGAUGAAGUAGGGGAUACAUACAAGUUUCAGAAAAAGUUCUGAACCAACAACCCACGGGAUACAUACAGAGCUUUGCAAGGCCACCCAAGCAACUUCAACUGUUGUGCUGCAUCAUCGGACAGCAUCCAGUCGCCAAAUCGCCAGGCCCGUGCUUCUGCAACUGCAACUUCAAAUUUUCAGUCAAACAUUACAGUUUGGGGACAUCUUGGAGACAGUUUGGAUCCUCACCUUUGCUCUGUCGUCGCGGGCAGUGCUGGUUGCUGGGCGGCGAAGGCGGGGAUGGUUGCUGGUGUCGACGGGGAAAAGUGGAGAGCUUCUGCCGACUCCAGCGAGGUGAGCGAGGUGGACGAGGUUGGCGGCGAACUGGUGGGAACCGGCUUCGUGGCCUACGGCAUCCAGCCGGCGAGGAGGUGGUACACGACAGGAAGGUCCAGCUCCGGCUCGCCAAGCUCGGGAAAGGCCGCCGCCGUCGCCCAUCAGAGACAAAAAUCGAGCCUUCUCCUUCCGAUGGCUCACUAUGGGGAACGAGCAAGGGAACAGGGAGAGGGAAGCAACGUGGUAGAGGUGUGGGGGAGCCGAGCAGGGGAGCUCCGGCGCGCAGAGGCUACGAGCGAGGGAGACGAGCAGGGGCAGGGUUUGUCGCUCCUGCUCCGGUACAAGGAGUAUAUAUGAGUGUACCCUGGCACCCUGCCCCUUGUAUUAUUAACCAGAAAAAAACAAUAAAGUGAAAAGAAGCCAGGAGCGACAAGCCCGCACCAAAACUUCCAUUGAUCUGUUUUUCAUUUCAUUCGCUAAAGUAUGUGAGUUUCCGUCGAGAGUUUCCAUCAGAGAUGGAUCGAUCCGAUCGUAGCCGGCCGAAGCAAGGACGUACGUCUAGUAGCUACAGAAUCAAUCCAGCUGCCUGCUAGGGUGCUUGCCUAGCUAGCUUGCACGACGUGCUUUGGUUCAGGAGGAUACUGUUAGGAAUAUGCAGAAAACCCCUUAUACAACGGGAUAAAUACAAAGGGGUAUAUGGCUAUAUUAUAU
RNAcentral lists this long non-coding RNA (1423 nucleotides) under Hordeum vulgare. Its description in RNAcentral is "long non-coding RNA (HVUL_LNC019824)". Lineage: Eukaryota; Viridiplantae; Streptophyta; Magnoliopsida; Poales; Poaceae. The record is from RNAcentral.